RNAcentral lists this ribosomal RNA (330 nucleotides) under uncultured Limnohabitans sp. RNAcentral's name for it is "bacterial SSU rRNA". It matches the Rfam family "Bacterial small subunit ribosomal RNA", at positions 1 to 342 of the family's 1533-position model. The record is from RNAcentral. Lineage: Bacteria; Pseudomonadati; Pseudomonadota; Betaproteobacteria; Burkholderiales; Comamonadaceae.
CUCGGAGUUUGAUCCUGGCUCAGAUUGAACGCUGGCGGAAUGCUUUACACAUGCAAGUCGAACGGUAGAGGGGGCAACCCCUUGAGAGUGGCGAACGGGUGAGUAAUAUAUCGGAACGUGCCCAGUCGUGGGGGAUAACGUAGCGAAAGUUACGCUAAUACCGCAUACGAUCUAAGGAUGAAAGCGGGGACCGUAUGGCCCCGCGCGAUUGGAGCGGCCGAUAUCAGAUUAGGUAGUUGGUGGGUAAAGGCUCACCAAGCCAACGAUCUGUAGCUGGUCUGAGAGGACGACCAGCCACACUGGAACUGAGACACGGUCCAGACUCCGUAC